AUUGAACGCUGGCGGCAUGGCUAAAACAUGCAAGUCGAGCGGGGAGCUUCGGCUCCUAGCGGCGAACGGGUGAGUAACACGUGGGCAACCUACCCUCAAGACUGGGAUAACACCGGGAAACCGGUGCUAAUACCAGAUAAUCUCAAGUCUCGCAUGAGACUCGAGUAAAAGACUUCACUUGAGGAUGGGCCCGCGGCGCAUUAGCUUGUUGGUGGGGUAACGGCCCACCAAGGCCACGAUGCGUAGCCGACCUGAGAGGGUGACCGGCCACACUGGGACUGAGACACGGCCCAGACUCCUACGGGAGGCAGCAGUAGGGAAUUUUCCGCAAUGGGCGAAAGCCUGACGGAGCAACGCCGCGUGAAUGA
This 368-nucleotide ribosomal RNA is filed under the name uncultured bacterium. RNAcentral describes it as "bacterial SSU rRNA". It matches the Rfam family "Bacterial small subunit ribosomal RNA", at positions 30 to 408 of the family's 1533-position model. The record is from RNAcentral.